UUCCAGCUGACGAGUCCCAGUUAGGACGAAACUUGUGUCCUGUAU
This 45-nucleotide non-coding RNA is filed under the name Schistosoma mansoni. The record is from RNAcentral. Lineage: Eukaryota; Metazoa; Platyhelminthes; Trematoda; Strigeidida; Schistosomatidae.